RNAcentral lists this long non-coding RNA (449 nucleotides) under Oryctolagus cuniculus (rabbit). RNAcentral describes it as "lncRNA (ENSOCUG00000037430.1)". The record is from RNAcentral. Lineage: Eukaryota; Metazoa; Chordata; Mammalia; Lagomorpha; Leporidae.
GUGGGGUUAUGACCAGGAACAAUGACCUGUUACAUGUCUAAACAUAUAUUGAAUGUUAGAUCUUUUUACUCUUUUCUAAUUAUUUUUUGUCAUCAAAUUUACAGAAAAGUCAUAACAGACAAUACUCAAAAUAAUGGCCUCAGGGAUGAGAGUCACGAGCGCCAUGAAAAAUUCAGGAAUAAAACAUGUCAAGUUGGGUGUCAGGUUAUAGAAAUGUCCCAACAAACAUCUUCCAGAGAAGACUCUUUUCCUCAAGGAUUCCAGCAAAUUAGUAGAGAGCAUAUGGCCAGUAUCUUCUGUAAGAUCCACAGCCAACACUGUAACCCAGGGGGUAGCCAAAGCUGCCCCAGUAGCAGCCUGGGAAGACGGCCUCAGAGAAGUUGUUGAACUGCAUGUUGUCAGGAGUGGAUGUCUUAGGUAGGAGGGAACUGUGUUUCUUUGGUGUGAUG